RNAcentral lists this long non-coding RNA (259 nucleotides) under Cicer arietinum (chickpea). Its description in RNAcentral is "long non-coding RNA (CARI_LNC002389)". The record is from RNAcentral. Lineage: Eukaryota; Viridiplantae; Streptophyta; Magnoliopsida; Fabales; Fabaceae.
CAUCAGCAGUGGUAGCACUAAUCAAUUUAAAAGCAACAGAACGACCCAAAAAGGAAGUGGCAGUGUCAACAACAGAGCCAAUGGCACCACCAAUAGCACCAAAGGCACCACCAAUUAUACCAGUUGGACUUUUAACAGCUGUGAGUUCAUUAAUGUCCAAAACAUUCUUUUGCAUCAACACCACUGUUCCCUUCAGCUUCUGACCCCUGUUGAUGAUACCUGUUACACCUGAAAACAUCUUUGAUAAUUUUCUCUGAUA